AACGAACGCUGGCGGCAUGCCUAACACAUGCAAGUCGAACGAGACCUUCGGGUCUAGUGGCGCACGGGUGCGUAACGCGUGGGAACCUGCCCUUAGGUUCGGAAUAACUCCCCGAAAGGGGUGCUAAUACCGGAUAAUGUCUUCGGACCAAAGAUUUAUCGCCUUUGGAUGGGCCCGCGUUGGAUUAGCUAGUUGGUAGGGUAAAAGCCUACCAAGGCGACGAUCCAUAGCUGGUCUGGGAGGAUGAUCAGCCACACUGGGACUGAGACACGGCCCAGACUCCUACGAGAGGCAGCAGUGGGGAAUAUUGGACAAUGGGCGAAAGCCUGAUCCAGCAAUGCCGCGUGAGUGAUGAAGGCCUUAGGGUUGUAAAGCUCUUUUACCCGGGAUGAUAAUGACAGUACCGGGAGAAUAAGCUCAGGCUAACUCCGUG
This 433-nucleotide ribosomal RNA is filed under the name uncultured bacterium. Its description in RNAcentral is "partial 16S ribosomal RNA". It matches the Rfam family "Bacterial small subunit ribosomal RNA", at positions 29 to 507 of the family's 1533-position model. The record is from RNAcentral.